Long non-coding RNA from Austrofundulus limnaeus, 112 nucleotides. RefSeq lists it as uncharacterized. NCBI's taxonomy places the organism in Eukaryota, Metazoa, Chordata, Actinopteri, Cyprinodontiformes, Rivulidae. The transcript is spliced from 3 exons. The record is from RefSeq and is a predicted model, not a curated record.
AAACUACUUUUCCAUCUGAUAGAGUUUAUCACAAGAAAAAUGAAACUAAUCUUUGCUUCAACAUUUCAGCAAACAAAAGCAAUGCAGGUUGUUGUAAUGGCACAGAUUUCAG